Molecule: ribosomal RNA, 164 nt
Filed under: uncultured bacterium
Lineage: Bacteria
Description: partial 16S rRNA
Rfam family: Bacterial small subunit ribosomal RNA
Source: RNAcentral
UAGAGAAUCUUCCACAAUGGACGAAAGUCUGAUGGAGCAACGCCGCGUGAGUGAAGAAGGUUUUCGGAUCGUAAAGCUCUGUUGUUGGUGAAGAAGGAUAGAGGCAGUAACUGGUCUUUAUUUGACGGUAAUCAACCAGAAAGUCACGGCUAACUACGUGCCAG